CCUACGGGAGGCAGCAGUGAGGAAUAUUGGUCAAUGGGCGGGAGCCUGAACCAGCCAAGCCGCGUGAGGGACGACGGUACAGCGUAUCGUAAACCUCUUUUGUCAGGGAACAAAGGCGGGGACUAGUCCCCGGAUGAGUGUACCUGAAGAAAAAGCAUCGGCUAACUCCGUGCCAGCAGCCGCGGUAAUACGGAGGAUGCGAGCGUUAUCCGGAUUUAUUGGGUUUAAAGGGUGCGCAGGCGGCCUGUUAAGUCAGCGGUAAAAGUGCGGGGCUCAACCCCGUCGAGCCGUUGAAACUGGCAGGCUGGAGUUGGAGAGAAGUACGCGGAAUGCGUGGUGUAGCGGUGAAAUGCUUAGAUAUCGCGCAGAACCCCGAUUGCGAAGGCAGCGUACCGGCUCCAUACUGACGCUGAGGCACGAAAGCGUGGGUAUCGAACAGGAUUAGAUACCCUUGUAGUC
This 459-nucleotide ribosomal RNA is filed under the name uncultured bacterium. RNAcentral's name for it is "partial 16S ribosomal RNA". It matches the Rfam family "Bacterial small subunit ribosomal RNA", at positions 338 to 795 of the family's 1533-position model. The record is from RNAcentral.